Molecule: long non-coding RNA, 792 nt
Filed under: Marmota monax (woodchuck)
Lineage: Eukaryota; Metazoa; Chordata; Mammalia; Rodentia; Sciuridae
Source: RNAcentral
UGAAAAUUACCUCUAUUUUUGUCUACUAGUCUUGUAGUUUUAAUCUUUACAUUUAGGCCCUUGGUUCACUUUGAAUUAACUUUUGCUCAUGGUAAGACUCCAAUUUCAUUAUUUGCAUGUGGAUACCCAGUGGUUCUAGCACCAUUUGCUGAAAAGACUCUCUUUCUCCCAUUGGAUAUGCUGGCACCCUUGUUAAAACUCAAUUGAGGGGCUGAGGUUGUGGCUCAUUGAUAGCGUGCUUGCCUAGCAUGCAUGAUGCACUGGGUUCAAUUCUCAAUACCACAUACAAAUAAAUAAAAUAAAGGUCCAUCAGCAAGUAAAAAAUAAUAAAAAUAAAUAAAAUAAAGGUCCAUCAAGAAGUAAAAAAUAAUAAAAAUAAAUAAGAUUAAAAAAAAUCAAUUGACCAUAGACAAAUGGGUUUAUUUCUGGACUCUUCAUUCUAUUUCAUCAGUCUAUGCAUCAGUCAUUAUGUCAGUACUCCAUUGUCUUGAAUACUGCUGUUUUAGUGAGUUUUGAAAUCAAAAAGUAUGUGACUCCUCCAACUUUGUUCUUGAUUUUCAAGAUUGUUUUAGCUAUUCUGAACCCUUGCAAUUCCAUAUGAAUUUUAGAGCCAGCUGAGAUGUUAACAGGUAUUUAAUUGAAUCUGUAGGUCAGUUUUGGUAAUACAUCUUAACACUACUAAGCCUUCUGAUCCAUGAACAUGGGAGGGGAUAAUUUCCAUUUAUUUGAAUCUUUUUUAUUUCUUUCAACAUUUUUUGUACUUUCUUAUAUAUUGUGUAUUUUGUAUUUUGG